Molecule: non-coding RNA, 563 nt
Organism: Monopterus albus (swamp eel)
Lineage: Eukaryota; Metazoa; Chordata; Actinopteri; Synbranchiformes; Synbranchidae
Source: the annotation of a RefSeq genome assembly
GAACUGUUUUCAUGCCCUCACACUGAAAACUGCAUCAGGAUGUUGCUGAUAACUCUGAUUCUCUUGUUGGGUUUUCUGAGUCAGGAGUCUUCUGCCAACAACUUUCUGACUCAGACUGACAAAUCCAAGUCUGUGAGUCUUGGAGGGACUGUGACCAUCAGCGCCACAGGGAGUUCAGAUAUUGAUGAUGAUCUCAGUUGGUACCUUCAGAAACCUGGACAGGCUCCCAAACUUCUUAUAUACCGAGUAUCAACUCUGAACUCUGGAGUUCCGUCUCGAUUCAGUGGCAGCAGGUCUGGUUCUAGCUACACUAACCAUCAGAGGAGUUCAGGCUGAAGAUGUUGGAGAUUACUACUGUCUGGGCUACCAUGGUGAUUAUACGUUCACACAGUGAUUUAGAGCCGUACAAAAACCUCCUUCAGUUUGACUGAAGUGCUGCAGGUGCAGAGUGUUGGUGGAGAGACUGUGAUGAGAGUAACUGGUCCAAUGAACACAGCAGUCAUCAAGCAGAACCACAAUAAGUCGAAAUAAAGCUGAAACCUUUCCAUACACAGUUAUAUUCU